UCAAUGUGGGGCAUUUCUGGGACAAGCUGGAGAGGCGCUAUGAGGUAAAUGCCUGGGAGGAUAUGGGGGUGACCCUAGCUACGACUUGUAUCAGCAGAGGAGAUGGAGACUGAAGUGGACACCUCCUAUACCCAGACAGGAGCCUAGCAUAACUGUCCUCUGAGAGGCUCCACUCAGCAGUGAUCAAAACAGAUGCAGAGACCCACAGCCAAACAUUAAGCGGAGCUCGGGGAGUCUAGUGGAAGACUUGGGGAAGGAUAGAGGGACCUGGAGGGGGCAAGAGCGCCACAAGAAGACCAACAGAGUCAACUAACAGAGGACCAUGGGGACUCACAGAGACUCACCAAAGAACAGGCACCAAGCUUAACUGUCAUCUGCGAGGCUUCACCCAGCAACUGAUGAAAACAGAUGCAGAGACCCACAGCCAAACAUUAGGCAAAGCUCGGAAAAUUCCAUGGAAGAGGGGGACAAAGGAUUGAAGGAGCCAGAAAGGUCAAAGACACCACAAAAAAGCAAACAGAACCAACUAACCCAGCCCACAGGGGCCCACAAAGACUUAACCACCAAAUAGAGAACAUACUUGAGAUGGACCUAGGCCCUCUGCACAUAUGUAACACAUAUGUGGUGUAGCACGUAUGUGGUUCAGCUCAGUCCUCGUGCUUCUAACAGUGGGAGCUGGAGCUGCAUCUUACUCUGUUGCCUGCCUUUGGAUCCCUUUCCCUUAACUGGUCUGCCUCUUCUAGCCACAAUAAAAGAUGUGCUUUUUCCUACUUGAUAUGCCAAGAUAAGUUGAUAUUCAUGGGAGGCCUCCCUUUUUCUGAGCCUCUUCUGAAGAGAAAGGGAGGAUGGGAGGAUGGCAGGGAGGUGAGUUGAGAGGGAGGAACGGAAAGGAGAAGAGGAAGGUAAAGUCUAGAUGUAAAAUUAAUUAAUUAAUUAAAAGUUUAGGAUUGGAAGGAAGGAAGGAAGGAAGGAAGGAAGGAAGGAAGGAGGAAAGGAAGGAAACAGGCUGAGCAAGUCAUAGUGAGCAAGCCAGUAAGCAGCACCCCUCCAUGGCCUCUGUUAUCAGCUCCUGUCCUGUUUGAGUUCCUAUUCUGACAUUUUUCAAU
Long non-coding RNA from Meriones unguiculatus (Mongolian gerbil), 1106 nucleotides. RefSeq lists it as uncharacterized. The transcript has 3 exons. Lineage: Eukaryota; Metazoa; Chordata; Mammalia; Rodentia; Muridae. The record is from RefSeq and is a predicted model, not a curated record.